UACAGAGGGUGCAAGCGUUAAUCGGAUUUACUGGGCGUAAAGCGUGCGUAGGUGGUGAGUUAAGUCUGUCGUGAAAGCCCCGGGCUCAACCUGGGAAUGGCGAUGGAUACUGGCUCGCUAGAGUGCGGUAGAGGAGAGUGGAAUUCCCGGUGUAGCAGUGAAAUGCGUAGAGAUCGGGAGGAACAUCAGUUGCGAAGGCGGCUCUCUGGACCAGCACUGACACUGAGGCACGAAAGCGUGGGGAGCGAACGGG
RNAcentral lists this ribosomal RNA (253 nucleotides) under uncultured bacterium. Its description in RNAcentral is "partial 16S ribosomal RNA". It matches the Rfam family "Bacterial small subunit ribosomal RNA", at positions 524 to 776 of the family's 1533-position model. The record is from RNAcentral.